This is a transfer RNA of Trichomalopsis sarcophagae, 103 nucleotides long. It matches the Rfam family "tRNA". From Rfam's summary of the family: Transfer RNA (tRNA) molecules are approximately 80 nucleotides in length. The record is from Rfam. Lineage: Eukaryota; Metazoa; Arthropoda; Insecta; Hymenoptera; Pteromalidae.
CCUUCGAUAGCUCAGUUGGUAGAGCGGUGGACUGUAGUUGGUUUAUUAACAAUAAAUGAAAUCAGAAAUCCAUAGGUCGCUGGUUCAAAUCCGGCUCGAAGGA